Molecule: long non-coding RNA, 209 nt
Filed under: Capsicum annuum
Lineage: Eukaryota; Viridiplantae; Streptophyta; Magnoliopsida; Solanales; Solanaceae
Description: long non-coding RNA (CANN_LNC012558)
Source: RNAcentral
UAAUGCUUAGAAAUGUCAUUUUUCAUAGUCGUUAACUACUUCCGUUUGCCUUUGAGUUAUGAACUUUAUGACUUUCAUUAAUACUUAAUUUUGGAAUUGUUUAUAUUUCUAAAAUUUAUCUUAACAUAAUCCAUUUUCUCCUUUAACAUCAAACAAUAUGAGUUAGUGCACACAACAUAAUAAAGUCCACUGAGGUACACUAGAACAAC